GUGUGUCCACAUAUAUCUCUCGAUGCUCCGAGUAUGGUUCCAUGUCUGGCGAAAGGGAAUGGGGACUUUGUUCCUUGACCGGUCCCGGCAACCUCGAUAGGCUUGUGCCAAUCAAUGGUCCAUGCAAAUGGAACCAGGCCACAGCCGCC
This 149-nucleotide ribosomal RNA is filed under the name Niphargus glenniei. RNAcentral describes it as "partial large subunit ribosomal RNA". The record is from RNAcentral. Lineage: Eukaryota; Metazoa; Arthropoda; Malacostraca; Amphipoda; Niphargidae.